This 482-nucleotide ribosomal RNA is filed under the name uncultured Methanosaeta sp. Its description in RNAcentral is "bacterial SSU rRNA". It matches the Rfam family "Archaeal small subunit ribosomal RNA", at positions 856 to 1338 of the family's 1478-position model. The record is from RNAcentral. Lineage: Archaea; Methanobacteriati; Methanobacteriota; Methanomicrobia; Methanotrichales; Methanotrichaceae.
UUAAAUGAAUUGACGGGGAGCACCACAACGGGUGGAGCUUGCGGUUUAAUUUGGAUUCAACGCCGGAAAUCUUACCGGGACCGACAGCAAUAUGAAGGCCAGGCUGAAGACUUUGCCGGAUUAGCUGAGAGGUGGUGCAUGGCCGUCGUCAGUUCGUACUGUGAAGCAUCCUGUUAAGUCAGGCAACGAGCGAGACCCACGCCCACAGUUGCCAGCGUACUCUCUGGAGUGACGGGUACACUGUGGGACCGCCGCUGCUAAAGCGGAGGAAGGAAUGGGCAACGGUAGGUCAGUAUGCCCCGAAUAUCCCGGGCUACACGCGAGCUACAAUGGUUGGUACAAUGGGUAUCUACCCCGAAAGGGGACGGGAAUCUCCUAAAACCAAUCUUAGUUCGGAUUGAGGGCUGCAACUCGCCCUCAUGAAGCUGGAAUCCGUAGUAAUCGCGUUUCAACAGAACGCGGUGAAUACGUCCCUGCUCCUU